Molecule: long non-coding RNA, 208 nt
Filed under: Elaeis guineensis (African oil palm)
Lineage: Eukaryota; Viridiplantae; Streptophyta; Magnoliopsida; Arecales; Arecaceae
Description: long non-coding RNA (EGUI_LNC033005)
Source: RNAcentral
UACCAUUUACUUUGCUUGAGAAUAGAUUAUCAUUUACUUGAGAAUGGACUAUGUUGUGGUCAUGGGUCAAGAGAUCGAAUGGGUUCAAAUGGUUGGCUUAUACCUGUCGCCUCCGCAUACAUAAGGUAUUGUCCACUUUGACUCAUGACCAUCUUUAAGCUUCAGUGGAUCUUUAGGCUUCAAUGGGCCUUUAAGCUUCAAUGGGCCU